RNAcentral lists this ribosomal RNA (254 nucleotides) under uncultured bacterium. RNAcentral's name for it is "partial 16S ribosomal RNA". It matches the Rfam family "Bacterial small subunit ribosomal RNA", at positions 524 to 776 of the family's 1533-position model. The record is from RNAcentral.
UACGUAGGGUGCGAGCGUUGUCCGGAAUUAUUGGGCGUAAAGAGCUCGUAGGCGGUCUGUCGCGUCGAUCGUGAAAACUUGUGGCUUAACCCUGAGCUUGCGGUCGAUACGGGCAUGACUGGAGUUCGGCAGGGGAGACUGGAAUUCCUGGUGUAGCGGUGAAAUGCGCAGAUAUCAGGAGGAACACCGGUGGCGAAGGCGGGUCUCUGGGCCGAUACUGACGCUGAGGAGCGAAAGCGUGGGGAGCGAACAGG